GAUGAACGCUGGCGGCGUGCCUAAUACAUGCAAGUCGAGCGAACGGACGAGAAGCUUGCUUCUCUGAUGUUAGCGGCGGACGGGUGAGUAACACGUGGAUAAACUACCUAUAAGACUGGGAUAACUUCGGGAAACCGGGGCUAAUACCGGAUAAUAUUUUGAACCGCAUGGUUCAAAAGUGAAAGACGGUCUUGCUGUCACUUAUAGAUGGAUCCGCGCUGCAUUAGCUAGUUGGUAAGGUAACGGCUUACCAAGGCAACGAUGCAUAGCCGACCUGAGAGGGUGAUCGGCCACACUGUAGCUGUGACACGGUCCAGACUCCUACGGGAGGCAGCAGUAGGGGAUCUUCCACAAUGGGCGAAAGCCUUGCGGAGCAACGCCGCGUGGGUGAUGUAGGUCUUCGGAUCGUAAGACUCUGUUAUUAGGGAAGAACAUAUGUGUAAGUAACUGUGCACAUCUUGACGGUACCUAGUCAGAGGGCCACGGCUAGCUACGUG
Molecule: ribosomal RNA, 497 nt
Filed under: uncultured bacterium
Lineage: Bacteria
Description: partial 16S ribosomal RNA
Rfam family: Bacterial small subunit ribosomal RNA
Source: RNAcentral